Molecule: ribosomal RNA, 502 nt
Filed under: Anelpistina sp. Baja 1 LE-2015
Lineage: Eukaryota; Metazoa; Arthropoda; Insecta; Zygentoma; Nicoletiidae
Description: partial 16S ribosomal RNA
Rfam family: Bacterial large subunit ribosomal RNA
Source: RNAcentral
GGUUCUUCGGGAAGAGUGAGGAAUCUGGCCUGCCCAAUGAUUUAUUUAAUGGCCGCGGUAAUUUGACCGUGCAAAGGUAGCAUAAUCAUUAGUCCUUUAAUUGAGGUCUGGCAUGAAGGGUCGGACGAGGGGGUGUCUGUCUUUUUUUAGUUUUGUUUUGAAUUUUACUUUUUAGUGAAAAGGCUAGAAUUUUCUUGGGGGACGAUAAGACCCUAUAGAUCUUUACAUUGAGGGCUAACAACGGGUUGGCUGAUGUGUUUUGUUGGGGUGACAGGAAGAUAUAAUUAACUCUUUUGUAGGAUAAUCAUUACUGGUGGGUAUGGGUUUUGUUUAUUGGUCCUUUGUUCAAGAUUAUUAGAUUAAGUUACCUUAGGGAUAACAGCGUAAUCCUUUUUGAGAGUUCUUAUUGACAAAAGGGUUUGCGACCUCGAUGUUGGAUUAAGAAGUCUUUGUGGUGCAGAAGCUACAAAUGGAGGGUCUGUUCGACCUUUAAUUUCUUACA